CACGUAGUUAGCCGGUGCUUAUUCUUCAGGUACCGUCAUUAGCAAGGGAUAUUAGCCCUCACCGUUUCUUCCCUGACAAAAGAGCUUUACAACCCGAAGGCCUUCUUCACUCACGCGGCAUUGCUGGAUCAGGCUUGCGCCCAUUGUCCAAAAUUCCCCACUGCUGCCUCCCGUAGGAGUCUGGACCGUGUCUCAGUUCCAGUGUGGCUGGUCGUCCUCUCAGACCAGCUACUGAUCGUCGCCUUGGUGAGCCUUUACCUCACCAACUAGCUAAUCAGAUAUCGGCCGCUCUAAAAGCAUAAGGCCCGAAGGUCCCCUACUUUCAUCCGUGGAUCGUAUGCGGUAUUAGCGUAACUUUCGCUACGUUAUCCCCCACUUCUAGGUACGUUCCGAUAUAUUACUCACCCGUUCGCCACUCGUCAGCGGAGCAAGCUCCCUGUUACCGUUCGACUUGCAUGUGUAAAGCAUGCCGCCAGCGUUCAAUCUGAGCCAGGAUCAAACU
RNAcentral lists this ribosomal RNA (502 nucleotides) under uncultured Massilia sp. RNAcentral describes it as "partial 16S ribosomal RNA". Lineage: Bacteria; Pseudomonadati; Pseudomonadota; Betaproteobacteria; Burkholderiales; Oxalobacteraceae. The record is from RNAcentral.